CCGGUCUGAUCGCUGAUAGCGGACGGUAGCCUCCCCCACUGUCGGGGGAGGUUCGCUGUUGCUCCCUGUUCAGGUCAGGGCAGGCUGGGC
RNAcentral lists this transfer RNA (90 nucleotides) under Deinococcus grandis. Its description in RNAcentral is "tRNA-Gln". The record is from RNAcentral. Lineage: Bacteria; Thermotogati; Deinococcota; Deinococci; Deinococcales; Deinococcaceae.